This is a non-coding RNA of Pelobates cultripes (western spadefoot toad), 399 nucleotides long. NCBI's taxonomy places the organism in Eukaryota, Metazoa, Chordata, Amphibia, Anura, Pelobatidae. The record is from the annotation of a GenBank genome assembly.
UUUGCUUCACAAAAAGUAAAUUUUAUCAUCAUCAGGCCGGACUGGCCAUUGGGCAUACCGGGCAAAUGCCCGGUGGGCCGCGAUGGCCGUGGGGCCAAGGCCGGCAGGGGAUCUCCUCAGCCGGCCCCUGCAGGGCCAGCGCUAUCCGAGCGCCGGCCCUGCUGUGGGCCGGUGGGGAGAUCUCCCUCACCGGCCCAGAGGCAUGGAGAUGCGGCCGCCGGCUGGGGAGGGAGGCAGGGAGGAGAGAGGACCGGCGGAGCUCUAACAAGCAGCUCCGCCAGGUCCUCUCGCGGGAUUCUGAGCAUUGCCGCGGUUACCACAGAAACGCUCAGAUCUCGCGAGAGUGAACUCUAACCUGCAGGUUAGAGUUCACUCUCACCACUGGGCCACCAGGGAAGG